CCGUAAGUGGGGAGUAUAAAAUAGGGCUGUCAACCUUUCCUUUUCAUUUUUUUCAUUUGUCUGAUUGCUCUUAAUCGGAUUUAAUCACUCUUGCUAGAAACCAUCGUUGUCACCAUUUAUUGCCCCCCUUCAUUGCCUUCUUCUCCGGCAUUGGUAGUCACCAUCAUCUCAAGUUCCAGUCUGAAGCCCUACAAGUUGGUCCUCCUUUUUUCUCUACUUUUUCUGACUUCGUCUUCCUCCAUUGCUUCUUC
This 251-nucleotide long non-coding RNA is filed under the name Elaeis guineensis (African oil palm). RNAcentral describes it as "long non-coding RNA (EGUI_LNC028400)". Lineage: Eukaryota; Viridiplantae; Streptophyta; Magnoliopsida; Arecales; Arecaceae. The record is from RNAcentral.